CGAAUACACCCUUCUGGCUGCAUGGUCUGGUUGGGGAAAGCUUUUGCGGUGUGGGAUGGGCCCGCGGCCUAUCAGCUUGUUGGUGAGGUUACGGCUCACCAAGGCGACGACGGGUAGCCGGCCUGAGAGGGUGACCGGCCACACUGGGACUGAGAUACGGCCCAGACUCCUACGGGAGGCAGCAGUGGGGAAUAUUGCACAAUGGGCGCAAGCCUGAUGCAGCGACGCCGCGUGAGGGAUGACGGCCUUCGGGUUGUAAACCUCUUUCGCCAGGGACGAAGCGCAAGUGACGGUACCUGGAGAAGAAGGACCGGCCAACUACGUGCCA
This 328-nucleotide ribosomal RNA is filed under the name Mycobacterium sp. Ri465a. Its description in RNAcentral is "bacterial SSU rRNA". It matches the Rfam family "Bacterial small subunit ribosomal RNA", at positions 170 to 510 of the family's 1533-position model. Lineage: Bacteria; Bacillati; Actinomycetota; Actinomycetes; Mycobacteriales; Mycobacteriaceae. The record is from RNAcentral.